CUCCUGCCUUCAACCAACCAGCCUCCCGUCAGAGAGAGACAUGCGCAGUGAGUGCCUCCCGUCUCUUCUACCCGAACCCCCCCUCCCCCCCAAGCAGAGAGACCCCAGCAGCAGCAGCAGCUGAUGAUGAAGAGAGAGGCAGUGGCAGAGGGGGGGCACCUUUUAUUUCUAUUUUUAAAGGGACAGGACACUAAUUUUACCCCACUUCAACCUUGAAUUGAGGGGGGUGGGGGGAAGGCGGCUGAGUUCCUUCCCCCACCCUCCAGCCCUGAGACCUGAGAGGGAGAUUGAGCCUGAGAGAGAAGGAGAAGGAGUUUCUUCUUCUUCGAAAACCCCCAUCCACGACUCCUACCCCCUCACCCCUCCACUAGCCUCCCUCCCGAGCCCCCUCCAUCCUCCUCCUCUUUGGCCGUGAGAGGAGGAGAGAAAGAGACCAAAAGCCUCUUAGCAACACAGACCCUUCUCUGCUGCUGUUGCUGCUGCUGCUGCUGCUGCUGCUGCUGCUGCUACUGCUGCUGCUGCUUGGCCCUGGCUGGAGACAUCUCACUACACCCAGGAGCAGCCACUUCCCCAGCUCUCCUCCUCCUUCGCCUCCUCCUCCUCCUCCACUCCCCCCCCCCUUUAUUACCCUUUGUGUCAUCCUCCACAGCUCCAGGGAAGGCACUCAAAAGUGGGGGGCAGGAAAGCUGCAACUGAAACAGCGACAUACACUAAUGACCAAAAGGAACAGUGAUGUUGCUCAUCAAAAAAUUACUGAUUGGCUUUGGAAUCCAUAGAACUCAAAACCAUAUGCUAAAGAUGCUUAUUGAAGAUAUCAGUUUCUGCAUGUGGGAAGUAGAUAUUGAAUGUUAUAUGGUUUGCAGACAAGAUCUUUAAAAAAAAGACACUCAAGGACCAAGGGAAUAAAUACCGGAAGUCAAGAGCACAGAAUAUUUUCCUUCAUCAAUCCACAGAACCCUGACACUUUUCUAAUUCCAUCAAACAUAGAGGAAUGACCACCUUGGCAGAUGGCCACAGAGGAUGUCAACAAUUUUUUGGAG
This is a non-coding RNA of Vicugna pacos (alpaca), 1040 nucleotides long. NCBI's taxonomy places the organism in Eukaryota, Metazoa, Chordata, Mammalia, Artiodactyla, Camelidae. The record is from RefSeq and is a predicted model, not a curated record.